UACAGAGGGUGCAAGCGUUGCUCGGAAUCAUUGGGCGUAAAGGGUAGGUAGGUGGUCUCGUUUGUCUGGGGUGAAAGCCCAGGGCUUAACCCUGGAAGUGCCCCAGAAACGGCGAGACUAGAGUCUUGGAGAGGGUCGUGGAAUUCCCGGUGUAGCGGUGAAAUGCGCAGAUAUCAGGAGGAACACCGGUGGCGAAGGCGGUUCUCUGGGCAUGAUCUGACGCUGAGGAGCGAAAGUGUGGGGAGCGAACAGG
Molecule: ribosomal RNA, 253 nt
Filed under: uncultured bacterium
Lineage: Bacteria
Description: partial 16S ribosomal RNA
Rfam family: Bacterial small subunit ribosomal RNA
Source: RNAcentral